UCCUACGGGAGGCAGCAGUAAGGAAUAUUGGUCAAUGGAGGCAACUCUGAACCAGCCAUGCCGCGUGCAGGAAGACAGCCCUCUGGGUCGUAAACUGCUUUUAUUCGGGAAUAAACCUACUUACGUGUAAGUAGCUGAAUGUACCGAAGGAAUAAGGAUCGGCUAACUCCGUGCCAGCAGCCGCGGUAAUACGGAGGAUCCAAGCGUUAUCCGGAUUUAUUGGGUUUAAAGGGUGCGUAGGCGGCUUAUUAAGUCAGGGGUGAAAGACGGUGGCUCAACCAUCGCAGUGCCCUUGAUACUGAUGAGCUUGAAUGAACUAGAGGUAGGCGGAAUGUGACAAGUAGCGGUGAAAUGCAUAGAUAUGUCACAGAACACCGAUUGCGAAGGCAGCUUACUAUGGUUUUAUUGACGCUGAGGCACGAAAGCGUGGGGAUCAAACAGGAUUAGAUACCCUGGUAGUCCACGCCCUAAACGAUGAAUACUCGCUGUUAGCGAUAUACAGUUAGCGGCUAAGCGAAAGCGUUAAGUAUUCCACCUGGGGAGUACGCCCGCAAGGGUGAAACUCAAAGGAAUUGACGG
This 579-nucleotide ribosomal RNA is filed under the name uncultured bacterium. Its description in RNAcentral is "bacterial SSU rRNA". It matches the Rfam family "Bacterial small subunit ribosomal RNA", at positions 337 to 916 of the family's 1533-position model. The record is from RNAcentral.